Long non-coding RNA from Mauremys reevesii (Reeves's turtle), 1295 nucleotides. RefSeq lists it as uncharacterized. The record is from RefSeq and is a predicted model, not a curated record. Lineage: Eukaryota; Metazoa; Chordata; Testudines; Geoemydidae. The transcript has 4 exons.
AAAUUUGGCAGAGCCAAACAGCUGUCACCCUAAAGCAGGCAUUUUUCAAGUGGUUGCUGCUUGCUGUAUUCUUCUCCUCUAGCUGGAGGAAUAUUCCCACGCUCGGUUGUUGAAAUUGGCUGCAAGACAAGAGAAUCCAGUUCAGCAAUCCGCUCCUGAUGACCCACCCCUAGGCCUGUGCCCUGGUGUUGCUCCACUAACAGUCCUCCUGACAGACUUAGAAUCAGAACCAGCACAGUACAGGAUUUGAACUGACUGCCAGAUCUGCACACUCUACGUGGGAUUUGCAAAUCAAGCUGUGUUCGUGUCACCUCUGCCACCAUCACCAGUAAUAACUAGGACUUCACUUGAAGUGGCCCAAAGUCAGAGAGAAGCCAGCUAGCCCUCCCGUCACUCUGUCGGCUCCGCAGUGCUGCUAACCAUAGCAAGAACCUGAUAGAUUUGUCUGCAGAUGUAACUCAGAAAUAUGGAAGGGACCGGAUCCUGUUCUCAGUCACACAUUUGUCUUCUCAAUAGCAUUCAUUUCAGAAUUAAAGGGGGAACCAAUUUCUGGCUGCAAGGAAGAAAAGAAACUUGCAGGAUGGACCCUGAUUUGAGAACAAGGGGAAAUUUUCCCAGUCAGUGUAAAUCAUCAUGACACCAGCAUGAAGCCAGAUGACAGGGUGAGUUGGGGGUGUUUGGAGCAGAUACUAAUUAGGAAAGAACAGUUCCACGAAGCUACUUUAUUCUCUUUCCCUUCCAGCCUCCCCCCCCCCCCCUGCUCCACUUUGGCUGCAUGAGCAGCUUGGGAUCCCAGCUGGGGAGCAGCUGUGGGCUUGCACUGGCCCUUUAAAGGCGAAGGUGCACUGUCUCUUUAAGCCAGGUCUCUUGUGGGUUGUGUUCAGUGAAGGAAGUGACGGGGGGAGAUUGAAUGAAAAGAGAAAAACAGAAUCAAAGAGUCCCAAGUAAGGGACAGAGGGAGCUGGGGCAGGGCUGCUGUGGGAGAGGGAAAAGACAGGCUGGACAUGGUGGGGUAGCAGGGUACGAGGAGGAGAGGUGGUUGCCAAGGAUCUGGGCACCAGCCAGCCACUCCACCGGAGCACUGGGAGGUGUAAAGUGCAAGCAGCAGCCCAUGUGCUGUCCAGAGUCCAGGGAGAGAGGCGGAGAGGGGUAAGCGGAGAGGGCUCCGGGGGUGGAGGAGGAGGAGGCAGAGGGUGACACGCGGGGAGCUCCCAGACUCGGGGGCUCUCUUAGCUCCGCCAAACUUUCAGGCAAAGUUUGGGAACUUCGUGGGGAGGGUUGUCUCGGGAGCCGCU